GUUAGAUGGGGCAUCUUUCUUUAGAUGGGUUCAUUGUAGUUUAUUUAACUUUUGCCUUGAUUUUGAGAAUAGGACUGGAACUGAAGGGUUUUCUCUUAAUAGUAAUGAUAGCUGGCAAUCAAUUAUAUUUAAUGUUUAGGGAAUGUGUUUCUUUCCCUAAGAAUGAUUAACUUUUACUUCACAGGCCAAUAAUUCAAUUUUCUUCAAUUUCUUUAGAUAAGUUGUAAGAACAUGGAACACACACAUUGAUUCUUUGCUUCUAAAACUCUUCAAUUCUCUGUUAUGCCAGUGGAUCCUUUUCCUCUUGGUGUUGUUAUUAUUUAUUCUGAACACAAAUUCUAACCUUUUUUUUUCUUAUUCUUUUUAGAAUGAAAUAAUCCAAGCUCUGGAGUAAUUGAAGAGCAGCAAGCAGAAAAUAAGCGUUCAAUCAAAGACCACUAAAAGCACUAUGGACAUAGCACCUAAUAGAAUGAAAUAAUCCAAGCUCUGGAGUAAUUGAAGAGCAGCAAGCAGAAAAUAACCCAUCAAUCAAAGACCAAUAAAAGCAAUAUGGUCAUAUAAGCAAAUAGCAAAUUUUGAUGGAUACCAGCAUGGACAUCAAGUG
Ipomoea nil (Japanese morning glory) is the source of this 604-nucleotide long non-coding RNA. RefSeq lists it as uncharacterized. NCBI's taxonomy places the organism in Eukaryota, Viridiplantae, Streptophyta, Magnoliopsida, Solanales, Convolvulaceae. The transcript has 3 exons. The record is from RefSeq and is a predicted model, not a curated record.